Molecule: ribosomal RNA, 2820 nt
Filed under: Triticum aestivum (bread wheat)
Lineage: Eukaryota; Viridiplantae; Streptophyta; Magnoliopsida; Poales; Poaceae
Description: partial small subunit ribosomal RNA
Source: RNAcentral
AUGGCCAUUCUAGAUGAGCAGGAUGAAGAGGAUGAUUUUAAUAAAGUUGCUGAAAGCUCGAGGAAUGAGUUAAGCAAUGUCGGGCAACUGAUUCAUCAAACCCUGAGGGACACCAAGUUGAUGAUGGUUUUUCUUAAUGGAAGUGAUGAAGAGGUUGAUGUAGGCACCUUUGGCAUUCCUCUUACAAGAUUUGACAGCAAUGUAAUGAUUUGGACCUUCAGCAGAAGAUGCUUGACCAUUGAUUCGGACCCUUACAAGGUAGGAGGCAAGCUUAGAUAUACUCAUGCUUUGCUUCGUACCUUUUGUUCUCUCACAAUGCUAAGGAGGGCAGAGUUUCUUGGACUGCUGCAUCAAAAAGUUGCUACCAUAGUUGCUCGCAAUCCAUUUGUACUAAAACUCGACCCAACAAUGGUAGUAGAUUGUUGUCUCUACGAGUUAUUCCUGCAUUGUAGUUUCCACACCAUCACCGAAUAUAAAUGGGUUGGUCAUGCUUCCAACUUUUGGAUAUGCGAUGGAAUCAUACAAGGAAACAUAGCAAGGGAUAUAAGUAAUUCUUUAGAUAGAGAGAUACACUGGGAGUGUGAUUCAUCAUCGGGUCGUUGUCUGCUUUAUCACUUCAUGCCAUGCCGUUGGACAUCAAUACAUCCAGAUAAUAUACAAGAACAUGAAUACGAAGAACUACCCGUGGAAACAUCAUCUAUCUUCUUGACAUUUACAAGUUCUCGCAGACCAGUGUUUUCAAAUGGUGCUUUUGAUUAUUACAAGAACCUUGGUGUGCUAAUCAUCAGUUGUUGUGCCUUCAGUUUUGCAUCACCUCCUUUCCAGAAGUGUGAUUCUCUAAGAUUCCUCGGAUUGGACCAUUGUAUAGAUAGUGAAACAGGUAAAGGAGAUGAGACUGCAGAGUGGGCAUGUAUACAUAGCUUAUUGGUGUUGGACCUACGUUACACAGAAUGGAAUGAAGUCUUAUCUGAAGAAAAGCUGGAUCUCAUGACUAAUAUCAGAGAGCUAAACAUAGAAGGGGUCAGGGGAUGGCAGUACACAGCUAACCUACAAUAUCGGCUACCUAACCUCCAGAGGUUCCGAAUAAUCAAACCAACAUAUCAAUGGAAGACAUCAGGGGAUUUUGAUAACUCUUUUAUAGAUAAGACAAGUAUGGAAAUACUCGACUUGUCAGGCAACAGUGACAUGCAAUGUCUUCCAACAAGCCUAUCGGAGGCAAGUAGCCUUCGGUUGCUUGUACUUGAUGGUUGCAGUGGGCUGGAAAACGUUGAAAGACUUCCUUCCUCCCUGGAAUCCUUUAGCUUCAACGGACAUGGGCCAGCUUCUCGAUGGACACAAACUGUUGAGCUACCUCCGACACAAUUCCAGCCGUCCACCACAACAGAUAAUAAGGAUGUUAGAGUGUCUAACAUCUCCUUACAAGGUUGCAGUCAAUUGAAGAACCUGUUUUUGUGUUGGUUACCCAACCUCGUGGAAUUGGACCUCUCUGAAACUGCAAUCAAGGUACUUGACUUCAAUACUAUGUUGGUGCAAGUCCCAGGGCUCAAGCGAUUGUUUCUAAUAGGAUGCAAGGGACUUCGUGCAAUAAUUCCGUUGGCCGAGAGUGGUUCUGAGAUAAAACACGACCUGGAGUUGAUGUGCAUAGACACGCGAGUUGGAAUCGUGUGUUCUCGGCCAUCUGUCAGCAGGACCAAGUCGUUCCGGUUCAAAUUGCAUGUCGUUGCUAUGGAUGCAAGGCUUACUCGCUCUUUGAUGGAUCUGUUGUUGCCUUAUGUACAAAAAGGUUUAAUGAAGGAUGUUUCUUAUAACAUCCAUGUCACCUCCUUACCUGUGAACAAUGGAGUUGAUCAAUUUGAGGCAACCAGGAAGAAUAAAGUUGACCCCGGUGAUCAAGAGAGCUUGCAACAGCUUAUUCCAGCAGACACGUAUAGUGAUGUCCUUACAAUGGUUGGUAGUCCCCCGAUGCAGGAUUUCCCGCAGCCUCCAACGACUACGCAGCUGGAGCAACAUAUGGAGAUUGCUACAGGAAGCUGCUAUGUGCAAAGCGAACUGGACAGAGGACUAGCGAGCUACUAUGCUAAAUCCCUGCAUGUGCAUGACGUAUGGAUACGUGCCUUGAGUGGUGUUCCUGGUUGGUCUGACAAGUAUAUGAUACGUUAUGGGUUUAACUCCCUUAAGUGGUGCUGCGUGGAGAGGUGCCCAAAGUUGGAUGUUUUCUUCCAUUUACAGAUGCAUGGAUUUAAUGAUCUGGAGAUCUUCUGGGCGUCGGAUCUCCCAAUGGCCCACUGGAUAUGGAAGAUUUGGAGUAAACCUCUACCUCUUAACUAUAUAAGCCCCAGUUCCUUUAGAGACCUACAGCACCUACACCUGAGGUCCUGCCCAAGCCUCCAGUUGGUGCUCCCGGUGUGGGUCUCCUCCUUCCCCAACUUGAAGACCCUCCACAUCAUCCAUUGUGGCGACCUCAUGCACGUCUUCGAGCUGAGCACAAAAUACCCAGAGGAAAUAGUCACCCUCGGUGUUCUAUUCCCCAGACUGACCACCAUCCACCUGCACGACCUCCCGAAGCUUCAGAAGAUAUGCGACUUCAAGAUGGUAGCGCCCGCACUCGAGAGCAUCAAGAUUAGGGGAUGUUGGAGUUUGCGUAGGUUGCCAUCCGUGGGCGCCCGUGGCCAAGGCGAGAAGAAGCCGGCGGUCGAGGUCGAGAAGGACGUGUGGGGCGCUCUGGAGUGGGACGACGACCACAGCCCCGACCACUUCGAACCGCCGGUCCACUCCCGCUACUACAAGGAGAAGCUGCCCAAGAUCUCCGUUCUGAGGUGA